Molecule: ribosomal RNA, 492 nt
Filed under: uncultured bacterium
Lineage: Bacteria
Description: partial 16S ribosomal RNA
Rfam family: Bacterial small subunit ribosomal RNA
Source: RNAcentral
AGUGAACGCUGGCGGUAGGCCUAACGCAUGCAAGUCGAACGGCAGCACAGUAAGAGCUUGCUCUUACGGGUGGCGAGUGGCGGACGGGUGAGGAAUACAUCGGAAUCUACUUUUUCGUGGGGGAUAACGUAGGGAAACUUACGCUAAUACCGCAUACGACCUACGGGUGAAAGCAGGGGAUCUUCGGACCUUGCGCGAUUGAAUGAGCCGAUGUCGGAUUAGCUAGUUGGCGGGGUAAAGGCCCACCAAGGCGACGAUCCGUAGCUGGUCUGAGAGGAUGGUCAGCCACACUGGAACUGAGACACGGUCCAGACGCCUACGGGAGGCAGCAGUGGGGAAUAUUGGACAAUGGGCGCAAGCCUGAUCCAGCCAUACCGCGUGGGUGAAGAAGGCCUUCGGGUUGUAAAGCCCUUUUGUUGGGAAAGAAAAGCAGCAGGUUAAUACCCCGCUGUUCUGACGGUACCCAAAGAAUAAGCACCGGCUAACUUCGUG